This 1225-nucleotide long non-coding RNA is filed under the name Oreochromis niloticus (Nile tilapia). Its description in RNAcentral is "lncRNA (ENSONIG00000030714.1)". Lineage: Eukaryota; Metazoa; Chordata; Actinopteri; Cichliformes; Cichlidae. The record is from RNAcentral.
GGAGGUUAUUUUUUGAGAACAGAGAUUAAAUAAAAUAAAGAUUAAACUUGUAUAAAGUCUUUCAGUGGCUCCAGAAGAAUCCGAGUGCUGUUUCAGAUUGAAAAUGGGGAAAUGUGUUUGGCUUCAGUCAUCAAAAUUUGUCCAUAAAUAACUGAUGUUGUCUUUUACAGCUUUGCUUUGAGGACGGGGAGAAGGAGACACUUUACCAAGUCGACCCAGAGAUGUCACUUUUGAAAUUACUGCAACAUAAAAGGUAUUUUGUGACGGCUGGCACGCCCAGCUUCAUCCUUUUAGUAAAGGGCUCUUCAUAUUGGAAGCAGUUUUUAUCAGGAAGGAAAGCAAUGAUUCUGAUUACUGAUGACUUGUGUGACUUUUUGAAUUCAACUCUAGUUUCAACAGGGAGCCAAUGAAGUAAAGUCAGUGUGGGAGAAAUAUGAUCUCUCUGGUCCAUGUCAGUACUCUCACUGGAGCAUUUUGCUAAUGUCUGCAGCUGAAUAUUUGUUUACUCUGUAUCAGGACUACAUUUUUUGCAACGCUCCUUCCAAAGUCAGUAACGUUUUGAUAAAAGAAUAAAACAGUUUAGUCUUAAAAUGUUUCAUAUUUUGACAUUUGUGAAAAAGCUUGUGAUUGUUUUAGUGUCUUGCACAGGUGAGUCUGUGUUACAAAGAACGUCUUGACUGUUUCGAGAACGCCACUACGGCCGGUGAGAAUGACGUUACUGAUAUUUGCAUAUUUGAAUGAUCGAGAAAAAAAAAAUCACACCUGCUGUAAGUUUAAAUGAUAGUUGAUGGAUUCAAAGGAAAUUCAACCAGACUGUCUUGUUUCUCUGAUUACUGUUCAGAAUACAGUUAUUAAUAUUAGAAGUGGGUUUUAAGAUUUAACUAAUCUCAUUUAAAGGAGUUUAGGUUUGGUUCCCAGCUGUAUUACGGCUCAGAUUGGCCAUCUUUGAUACCAGGCAUUUGGCCGGUGGACCGAUGCCCUUUAGGCCUAUGGGUCAGUUGGAAGGACUACUGCGCACCGGCCCUACAUGUACUGACAGCAGGACAUUUGUUCAUUUUCAUUACUAACACCAUAUUGCCCAAUCAAAACUCUUAGGACAACCGGCCCUUCCACUAGUUUCACCCACACACCUUGUAGAACUGAGUUUAGUGUGGAAGAAGUGGAGAAGGAAGAGAUUAAAGGAUUCAGGUAACUGCCAACAAUAUUUCACAUUGUUGGCAGUGUG